UACCUGGUUGAUCCUGGCCAGUAGCAUAUGCUUGUCCAAAGAUUAAGCCAUGCAUGCUAAUACACACGGGCGUACAGUGAAACUGCGAUGCUCAUUAAAUCAGUUUAUGGUUCCUUUGGUCGCCCCACCCCCGUUACUGAUAACUGUGGUAAUCUAGAGCUAAUACAUGCCGACGAGCGCCGACCUCCGGGGACGCGUGCAUUUAUCAGACCAAACCCAACCCCGGCUCGCCGUCGGGCAUUUUGGUGACUCAGUAACCUCGAGCCGAUCGCACGCUCCCCGUGGCGGCGACGACCCAUUCGAAUGUCUGCCCUAUCAACUUUCGAAUGGUACUGUCUGUGCCUACCAUGGUGACCACGGUAAACGGGGAAUCAGGGUUCGAUUCCGGAGAGGGACCUGAGAAACGGGCUACCACAUCCAAGGAAGGCAGCAGGCGCGCAAAUUACCCCAACUCCCACCCGGGGAGGUAGUGACGAAAAAUAACAUACAGGACUCUUUCGAGCCCGUAAUUGGAAUGAGUCCACUUAUAAAUUCCUUUAACGAGGAUCCAUUGGAGGGCCAAGUUCUGGUGCCAGCAGCCGCGGUAAUUGCCAGCUCCAAAUAGCAGUAUGAUUAAAGUUGCUGCAGUUAAAAAGCUCGUAGUUGGAUCUUGGAUCGAGCUGGCGGUCCGCACGCGAGGCGAGCUACGCGCUGUCCCAGCCCUGUCUCUCGGCUCCCCCUCGAUGCUCUUAACUGAGUGUCCCGGGGCCCGAACGCGUUUUAAACAAUACUCCAGCUGGAAAAUACUAGAUGGUAGAUGGUUGGUUUCGAACCAUGAUAAGAGGACGGCCCAUCGUAUGGCUAGAGUGAAAUCUUGACCGGCGCAAACACUAAAGCGAAACAUUAAGAAUGUUUCAUUAUCAGACGAAAGCGAGUCGAAGACGAUAUAGUUGCGAUAAACGAUCCGACGCGGCGUAUAGGGCACCUCCGGAAAAUCUUGUUCGAGUAUGCGCUGAACUAAAGAAUUGACGAAGCACCAUAUUGACCUCCUCGGUAAACUUCACCCGGCCGGACACGGACAGAUUGACAGAUUGAGAGCUCUUUCUCGAUUCCGUGGUGGUGUGCAUGGCCGUUCUUAGUUGGUGAGCGAUUUGUCUGGUUAAUUCCGAUAACGAACGAGACUCUGGCAUGCUAACUAGUUACGCGACCCCCGAGCGGUCGGCGUCCAACUUCUUAGAGGGACAAGUGGCGUUCAGCCACCCGAGAUUGAGCAAUAACAGGUCUGUGAUGCCCUUAGAUGUCCGGGGCUGCACGCGCGCGCUACACUGACUGGCUCAGCUUGUGUCACCCCCUACGCCGGCAGCGCGGGGUAACCCGUUGAACCCCAUUCGUGAUGGGGAUCGGGAUUGCAAUUAUUCCCCAUGAACGAGGAAUUCCAGUAAGUGCGGGUCAUAAGCUCGCGUUGAUUAAGUCCCUGCCCUUUGUACACACCGCCCGUCGCUACUACCGAUUGGUUUAGUGAGGUCCUCGAUCGGCCCCGGCGGGGUCGCCACGGCCCUGCCGGAGCGUCGAGAAGACGGUCGAACUUGACUAUCUAGAGGAAGUAAAAGUCGUAACAAGGUUCGUAGGUGAACCUGCGAAGGAUCAUUA
This is a non-coding RNA of Gallus gallus (chicken), 1629 nucleotides long. The record is from Rfam. NCBI's taxonomy places the organism in Eukaryota, Metazoa, Chordata, Aves, Galliformes, Phasianidae.